This 497-nucleotide ribosomal RNA is filed under the name uncultured bacterium. RNAcentral describes it as "partial 16S ribosomal RNA". It matches the Rfam family "Bacterial small subunit ribosomal RNA", at positions 28 to 507 of the family's 1533-position model. The record is from RNAcentral.
GAUGAACGCUGGCGGCGUGCCUAAUACAUGCAAGUCGAGCGAACGGACGAGAAGCUUGCUUCUCUGAUGUUAGCGGCGGACGGGUGAGUAACACGUGGAUAACCUACCUAUAAGACUGGGAUAACUUCGGGAAACCGGAGCUAAUACCGGAUAAUAUUUUGAACCGCAUGGUUCAAAAGUGAAAGACGGUCUUGCUGUCACUUAUAGAUGGAUCCGCGCUGCAUUAGCUAGUUGGUAAGGUAACGGCUUACCAAGGCAACGAUGCAUAGCCGACCUAAGAGGGUGAUCGGCCACACUGGAACUGAGAAACGGUCCAGACUCCUACGGGAGGCAGCAGUAGGGAAUCUUCCGCAAUGGGCGAAAGCCUGACGGAGCAACGCCGCGUGAGUGAUGAAGGUCUUCGGAUCGUAAAACUCUGUUAUUAGGGAAGAACAUAUGUGUAAGUAACUGUGCACAUCUUGACGGUACCUAAUCAGAAAGCCACGGCUAACUACGUG